UGAACGCUGGCGGCGUGCUUAACACAUGCAAGUCGAACGAGAAAGGGAUUGCUUGCAAUCCUGAGUAGAGUGGCGCACGGGUGAGUAACACGUAGAUAAUCUACCUUCAAGUCUGGGAUAACUAUUCGAAAGGAUAGCUAAUACCGGAUAAAGUAGUUUGUCAUAAGACAGAUUAUGAAAGAUUGCCUCUUCUUGAAAGCAAUUGUUUGGAGAUGAGUUUGCGGACCAUUAGUUAGUUGGUGGGGUAAAGGCCUACCAAGACUGCGAUGGUUAGCUGGUCUGAGAGGAUGAUCAGUCACACUGGAACUGGAACACGGUCCAGACUCCUACGGGAGGCAGCAGUGAGGAAUUUUGCGCAAUGGGGGUAACCCUGACGCAGCAACGCCGCGUGAGUGAAGAAGGCCUUUGGGUCGUAAAGCUCUGUCAACAAGGAAGAAAUUAGUUAUGUUUAAUAGAUGUAGCUAUUGACGGUACUUGUGGAGGAAGCGCCGGCUAACUCC
This 500-nucleotide ribosomal RNA is filed under the name uncultured bacterium. Its description in RNAcentral is "bacterial SSU rRNA". It matches the Rfam family "Bacterial small subunit ribosomal RNA", at positions 30 to 504 of the family's 1533-position model. The record is from RNAcentral.